AGUGAACGCUGGCGGCGUGCCUAAUACAUGCAAGUCGAACGAACGAAUAAGAGCUUGCUCUUAUAAGUUAGUGGCGCACGGGUGAGUAAUAUAUAGCUAAUCUGCCUCUUAGUAGAGGAUAACAGUCGGAAACGAUUGCUAAUACUCUAUACUUCUGCUUUACAUAAGUAAAGUAGAGAAAGUUUUUCGCUAAGAGAUGAGGCUAUACUGUAUCAGCUAGUUGGUAAGGUAACGGCUUACCAAGGCUAUGACGCAUAACUGGUCUGAGAGGAUGAUCAGUCACAUUGGAACUGAGACACGGUCCAAACUCCUACGGGAGGCAGCAGUAGGGAAUAUUGCGCAAUGGGGGAAACCCUGACGCAGCAACGCAGCGUGGAGGAUGACACUUUUCGGAGCGUAAACUCCUUUUAUCGGGAAAGAAUAAUGACGGUACCCGAUGAAUAAGCACCGGCUAACUCCGUG
This 462-nucleotide ribosomal RNA is filed under the name uncultured bacterium. RNAcentral's name for it is "partial 16S ribosomal RNA". It matches the Rfam family "Bacterial small subunit ribosomal RNA", at positions 29 to 507 of the family's 1533-position model. The record is from RNAcentral.